This 253-nucleotide ribosomal RNA is filed under the name uncultured bacterium. RNAcentral describes it as "partial 16S ribosomal RNA". It matches the Rfam family "Bacterial small subunit ribosomal RNA", at positions 524 to 776 of the family's 1533-position model. The record is from RNAcentral.
UACGGAGGGGGCUAGCGUUGUUCGGAAUUACUGGGCGUAAAGCGUACGUAGGCGGCUUUUUAAGUCAGGGGUGAAAGCCUGGAGCUCAACUCCAGAAUUGCCUUUAAGACUGCAUCGCUUGAAUCCAGGAGAGGUGAGUGGAAUUCCGAGUGUAGAGGUGAAAUUCGUAGAUAUUCGGAAGAACACCAGUGGCGAAGGCGGCUCACUGGACUGGUAUUGACGCUGAGGUGCGAAAGCGUGGGGAGCAAACAGG